Long non-coding RNA from Calypte anna (Anna's hummingbird), 406 nucleotides. RefSeq lists it as uncharacterized. The record is from RefSeq and is a predicted model, not a curated record. Lineage: Eukaryota; Metazoa; Chordata; Aves; Apodiformes; Trochilidae. The transcript is spliced from 3 exons.
AUUGCUGCAUGUGUCACCAAGGACAUUUUUAAUGCAAGUCCUGAUAUUUUGACAGGGACUGCAGAGAAGAAGACUGGUGAGGACUCAGGAUCUACUUUCCAUAUGUCAUCACCAGCAAAAAUAGAGGCCUAAAGGAAGCCACUGACAACUCUGGGGUGCAGUGUCGGGAACUGGAAGAGCAUCAGCUUCAAUAGGAGCAUCAGAUGUAUUACUAUUACAUGAGUUCCUACAAGGAUAAGAAAAGAGAACUAAGAGAGAAGUCCCAAAAACUGAAAGACCUCCUGUCAUCAUCUUCUGAGACCAGGGCUACAGUAAAAGAGCUGGAAGAGCAUGUGCAGUGGUGAGAGCCUGACACAGAGAACCAAGGUGUCUGUCACUGUCUGGGGUUGUGUGAAAAUUUGUUGUC